GACGAACGCUGGCGGCGUGCUUAACACAUGCAAGUCGAACGGAAAGGCCCUGCUUUUGUGGGGUGCUCGAGUGGCGAACGGGUGAGUAACACGUGAGUAACCUGCCCUUGACUUUGGGAUAACUUCAGGAAACUGGGGCUAAUACCGGAUAGGAGCUCCUGCUGCAUGGUGGGGGUUGGAAAGUUUCGGCGGUUGGGGAUGGACUCGCGGCUUAUCAGCUUGUUGGUGGGGUAGUGGCUUACCAAGGCUUUGACGGGUAGCCGGCCUGAGAGGGUGACCGGCAAAAUGGGGAGGGGGGUAGGGCCAGGACGCCUAGGGGGGGAAGGAGUGGGAAAAAGAGAAAAAGGGGCGGAGGCGUGGUGGAACAACGCCGGGGGGGGAAUGACGGCCUUGGGGUUGGAAACGGCUUUAGCCGGGAACGAGGGGGGGGGAAGGGAAAAGGGUAAAAAAGCACCGGCAAACUAGGU
Molecule: ribosomal RNA, 467 nt
Filed under: uncultured bacterium
Lineage: Bacteria
Description: partial 16S ribosomal RNA
Rfam family: Bacterial small subunit ribosomal RNA
Source: RNAcentral